GCCUGCAUGAGAACUGCUGUAUUCAUUGGUUUUCAUUUUCCCUGUUGGGUCGGAACCCAUGGCCAACACUUGGCAAAUGGCUAGCUUACAGACAAGGCAGACAUGAGGGGCAAAUUACCUGACCCAGCAGCAACUACUCCUCCAUCUAAGCCAAAGAAAGAGAGACAUUUGGAAAGCAGACAGCUAAAGGAGAGACUACGAUAAGUCUCGAAGGUGAAGUGUGUCUACGCAUUGAAAAUUGCAAAGUACAUCCCAGAACUUCAGAGAACAGUGUUGAGAAGACUGGGCUUUCAAUUGGGGCUACCAAGGAGAAUGAUCCUGAGAUCAGAUGACCCAAGACUCCCUGAAGUGCCACCACCUACAAAGGCUGAGCUGCUACAACUUCAAGGAGAUGUCACAACUCAACACAGGAUCAUACACUGUCUGCUGAACCCAGCUUCUUCAACGAGGAAUCCAGAUUCCCUAACGAGGUGCUAAAUGAUUCCACUAUGCCACCACACCACCCGUGAACUGAGUGAUUCCGCUUCCUUCGUAAACAAAGUGUCUGGACAAUGCAGCUCGCUGCGUGAUGCCAAAGCGGAGAGGAGAAGGAGGCCAAGGCUAUUAAUGCAGUGUUUAAUGGUCUACAGCUGGGUUAUUCCACCUCAAAAAGCACAAGAAAAAGGAUUUUGAUACCCACCAUCUCAGAUUGUUCUGAAAUCGUUUGUGUCGAUAGAAAGAUUAGCAUUCCUGAACACUAGUUUGUUUAAAUAUAAUUUAUUCUCUGAGACAUUAAGCUAAUUGACUGCACCCAUUGGCCAUUUGAAUUUACAGGAUUCAUAUAAUAUAUAAUAAAUAUAGUACCUAACAUCCGAUUUGCCCCAAACAUUUUUUGAACAAUGAGUUAGACAUGAAGAAUACAAAUAAAUGGUCAAAAAUCCCAUGUGGACCCCCCAAACCCAACGUCAAUUCCACCCCGACAAUGAGUAUAUAGUAUCAGUUCUCUAUGCCUGACAAGUAGUGUGGAACUAUGGCUCUGAGUUUUGUUUCUACAUCCUAUGUAAUGUUUUCUCAGUGAAUUGGGUUAUGUUUUUUCCCCCUGUUCAGAGAAAUUAGUCAUUGAAGUUGUUAGGUUUAUGUUCCAUCCUACAUCCUGAUAUUACCAGGUUCUGAACGCUAAAUGCUAAAUGGUGCUGUUCCCUCUAUUAAGGGAAUAGCACCGCCCCCUCAAAGUUAAUGGAUAGUU
This is a non-coding RNA of Salmo salar (Atlantic salmon), 1225 nucleotides long. Lineage: Eukaryota; Metazoa; Chordata; Actinopteri; Salmoniformes; Salmonidae. The record is from RefSeq and is a predicted model, not a curated record.